GCAGAAAGGGGGGCACUCCCUGAGUACAGCGGCGCACGGGUGAGUAACACGUGGGUAAUCUGCCCUGGAGUGGGGAAUACACCGGGAAACCGGUGCUAAUACCGCAUACGAUCACGAGGUCUGCGGAUUUCGUGAUGAAAGGAGCAAUUCGCUCCAGGAGGAGCCCGCGGCUGAUUAGCUCGUUGGUGGGGUAAUGGCCCACCAAGGCUACGAUCAGUAUCCGGUCUGAGAGGACGGUCGGACACACUGGAACUGAGACACGGUCCAGACUCCUACGGGAGGCAGCAGUGGGGAAUUUUUCGCAAUGGGGGAAACCCUGACGAAGCAACGCCGCGUGGGUGAUGAAGUCUCUUGGGACGUAAAACCCUUUCGACGGGGAAGAAACCGCAAGGUUGACGGUACCCGUAGAAGAAGCCCCGGCUAACUCCGUGCCAGCAGCCGCGGUAAU
RNAcentral lists this ribosomal RNA (448 nucleotides) under uncultured bacterium. RNAcentral's name for it is "bacterial SSU rRNA". It matches the Rfam family "Bacterial small subunit ribosomal RNA", at positions 66 to 524 of the family's 1533-position model. The record is from RNAcentral.